UACAGGGGGGGCAAGCGUUGUUCGGAAUUACUGGGCGUAAAGGGCUCGUAGGCGGCCAACUAAGUCACACGUGAAAUCCCCAGGCUUAACCUGGGAACUGCGUGUGAUACUGGAUGGCUUGAAUCCGGGAGAGGGAUGCGGAAUUCCAGGUGUAGCGGUGAAAUGCGUAGAUAUCUGGAGGAACACCGGUGGCGAAGGCGGCAUCCUGGACCGGUAUUGACGCUGAUGAGCGAAAGCCAGGGGAGCAAACAGG
RNAcentral lists this ribosomal RNA (253 nucleotides) under uncultured bacterium. Its description in RNAcentral is "partial 16S ribosomal RNA". It matches the Rfam family "Bacterial small subunit ribosomal RNA", at positions 524 to 776 of the family's 1533-position model. The record is from RNAcentral.